CGAUCACCCAUACUUUGUUUUUUAACACUAUCGUGAGGUCAGGAGUAUUGUGCUCCAAAACUCUGUCAGUCUGAAUUAGGAAGUCCCAGAGUAGUUUGACGCAUUCAUUUUCUGUAACUUUUUCAGACUUGAGAUCCCACCAGUUCUUUGACACAGAUAGAUGGUAUUUGUGAUUCCAAUGAUCAUUUGAGCAAUGAUGAUGAUGAUGAUGAUGAUGAUGAUGAUGAUGAUGAUGAUGAUGAUGAUGAUGAUUAGGAGUAUGACUUUUCCAUUAUGCAAGGUAAGCAUGACCAUUUCUAAUUUUUUUCAUUCAACAAAUUCAGUUUUUUAAUAUAGUACUGGAUAUAGCUUUAAUUAAUUUAGAGCAAUUGCUAACUUUGCAAGCCCUUGCACAAGUAUUUAUUUUCCACUAAUGUUCAUUAGGUUUCCUGGAGUUGGAAGAGCAAGUGGUAUUUUUCAGCGGGGUGGGGAGAAACAAUUAAAAGAAAGAAAGAUAGUGAAAAUUAAUUCAAAGCUGAUAAUCCAAUAACACCACUUUUUUCUUAUCACAAUAGCUAUUAAAAUCUAGUUUAGGAUAUCAGCACUGUAAUUUUUAAUCACAGCCUACUUGGAUUAUGGAUGACUUCAUAUUUGGCAUGCACAGUGCAGCAUGGCUUAAUCCAGAGAGAGCUGAGGAAUGCAUAAAAGCUGACAUUGCUGCGUACAAAUUGGGAAAACACGACCUUUAAAUGAUGUUACAAGGAACUUUACCAAAAUGAAUAAUCAGUACCAAUCUUAAAGUUUCCUUACAUAGUAUAACUGGUUGUAUCGCUUGCAAAAACACCUUGUCCCAGUAAGUAUUAACACUUGUCAGACAUAACAGAGAUUCCCAGUCCUUGGUAGAAUAUGAUAUCUGCGAACACAAAAGUACAAGAGCAGGAGAGUGGAUCUCUCAGCUUAAACACAAAUGGAAAAUGCUGAAGGGAAUGGCAUAAGCCGUGAUUUUAUUAUGUGCCCACUUAUUUUUGUCGCACUCUCUAUUCAAUUGGGUUCUACAGGGCAUUGGCUUCCUGUUAGUAACAUAGAUAGAUCUAUAGUUGUGGAAGAAGGAAUUCACUACUUCUCUGGUGGAACAACACCUAAUCACUCUCAAAUGCCUCUGUCUCAUUCUGUAACCCCUGGCCAGAUUCUAUUUACUCCUUUCCAUGGGUCUUAUGAGUAUGGCCAGAAUGUGGGGAUAUCCACUUUGAAACAUGAGUCUGAUAAAGCCCAUAGGAUCCAGUUUUGAAAUGGUUAAAACAGAGAAUGUUACACGACAAGGCAAUAUUCAUAGAACAUUAAUUUUUACGACAGAAGUAAUUCACAAUGUGAUGUGUUAUUAACAUGUUACUCCUACUAUUAAUUUUUAUUUUUAAAAUAAAGGCUCACUAAGGAUAGCCAUCACCCUCAACACACACAAACAC
RNAcentral lists this long non-coding RNA (1442 nucleotides) under Anolis carolinensis (green anole). RNAcentral's name for it is "lncRNA (ENSACAG00000035397.1)". The record is from RNAcentral. Lineage: Eukaryota; Metazoa; Chordata; Lepidosauria; Squamata; Anolidae.